GAUGAACGCUGGCGGCGUGCCUAAUACAUGCAAGUCGAGCGAACAGACGAGGAGCUUGCUCCUCUGACGUUAGCGGCGGACGGGUGAGUAACACGUGGAUAACCUACCUAUAAGACUGGGAUAACUUCGGGAAACCGGAGCUAAUACCGGAUAAUAUAUUGAACCGCAUGGUUCAAUAGUGAAAGACGGUUUUGCUGUCACUUAUAGAUGGAUCCGCGCCGCAUUAGCUAGUUGGUAAGGUAACGGCUUACCAAGGCAACGAUGCGUAGCCGACCUGAGAGGUUGAUCGGCCACACUGGAACUGAGACACGGUCCAGACUCCUACGGGAGGCAGCAGUAGGGAAUCUUCCGCAAUGGGCGAAAGCCUGACGGAGCAACGCCGCGUGAGUGAUGAAGGUCUUCGGAUCGUAAAACUCUGUUAUUAGGGAAGAACAAAUGUGUAAGUAACUAUGCACGUCUUGACGGUACCUAAUCAGAAAGCCACGGCUAACUACAUG
This 497-nucleotide ribosomal RNA is filed under the name uncultured bacterium. RNAcentral's name for it is "partial 16S ribosomal RNA". It matches the Rfam family "Bacterial small subunit ribosomal RNA", at positions 28 to 507 of the family's 1533-position model. The record is from RNAcentral.